RNAcentral lists this ribosomal RNA (533 nucleotides) under uncultured bacterium. RNAcentral's name for it is "bacterial SSU rRNA". It matches the Rfam family "Bacterial small subunit ribosomal RNA", at positions 791 to 1326 of the family's 1533-position model. The record is from RNAcentral.
UAGUCCACGCUGUAAACGAUGUCGAUUUGGGGGUUGAGCUUUAAGCUUGGCGCCCGUAGCUAACGUGAUAAAUCGACCGCCUGGGGAGUACGGCCGCAAGGUUAAAACUCAAAUGAAUUGACGGGGGCCCGCACAAGCGGUGGAGCAUGUGGUUUAAUUCGAUGCAACGCGAAGAACCUUACCUACUCUUGACAUCCAGAGAACAUUCCAGAGAUGGAUUGGUGCCUUCGGGAACUCUGAGACAGGUGCUGCAUGGCUGUCGUCAGCUCGUGUUGUGAAAUGUUGGGUUAAGUCCCGCAACGAGCGCAACCCUUAUCCUUUGUUGCCAGCGAUUAGGUCGGGAACUCAAAGGAGACUGCCGGUGAUAAACCGGAGGAAGGUGGGGAUGACGUCAAGUCAUCAUGGCCCUUACGAGUAGGGCUACACACGUGCUACAAUGGCGUAUACAGAGGGAAGCGAGAGUGCGAGCUGGAGCGAAUCUCACAAAGUACGUCUAAGUCCGGAUUGGAGUCUGCAACUCGACUCCAUGAAGU